This 80-nucleotide microRNA precursor is filed under the name Cercocebus atys (sooty mangabey). Its description in RNAcentral is "miRNA (ENSCATG00000016662.1)". Lineage: Eukaryota; Metazoa; Chordata; Mammalia; Primates; Cercopithecidae. The record is from RNAcentral.
AGGUUGGUGCGAAAGUAAUUGUGGUUUUUGCCAUUGAAAGUAAUAGCAAAAACCACAAUUACUUUCACACCAACCUAAUA